GGGACCCCGGACGCGCCGGCGGCGGCCGAGAGUGAGGGUGGCGAGCGCGCGGACGCUGCCGGGCGUGCUGGUUGCCCGCGCUCUUGGGCGCGGCCGGGACGCCCCGGACGCCG
Molecule: unclassified non-coding RNA, 113 nt
Filed under: Macacine alphaherpesvirus 2
Lineage: Duplodnaviria; Heunggongvirae; Peploviricota; Herviviricetes; Herpesvirales; Orthoherpesviridae
Source: RNAcentral